AUGCCACGGUGGCCUGGAGGUGCUUGUGUCACGCGCAGCUUGAGGAGCACACUGGGCAGGGCAGAGGGUCGAGGCCGUGAGGACAUCGCACGGUUCCACCGACCUGUGCGGGCACGAAGCCGGCAGCAGAAGCACUCAAAAUGGGUCAGGCGCCGAGGAUUGCGCAGGCGCCGUGCAAAGCUCGCGCCCCGCCCCACCUCGCGGCUUGGAGCGUGUAGUUCUCUCGCAGCUGCAGCGACAUCGUCGCGACACACGCAGCUCGUGGAGGUUGUGAUCCCUGACCUCCCAGUUCAGGGAAGUCCAACUCCUUCAGCAGCUUCUGCUUUGUGGCACUUAAGUUUCUGCACCGUGAUGCCAGCUGGUAUCCUCCAGGACCCAAGGCCCUCCUUCUUGUGUUAUUUUCAAAAUUAUGUUCAUGCUAAUCACCCGGAAGGCUCCAGACUGUCUGCUGAUGGAUGGCACUCAUACAUGGCAUGGAAAAUCCAGUGGCGCUGAGCCUCUGAGCCACAAUCAUGGCUGGAAAUGUAGGAGAUGGGCAAAGAGUACUCAGAAGUGUUAGAAGGAGUCCUUCGGGAGAAGCAUUUGUGGCUGAGAGAUGCGACCCUCACUUGUCAAAGGCCUGCUUCGCCAACCAGCUACUGUGUGCCUUGGGCGGGCCCUGGCCUCACCUACAGAAUAUUGGUUUUGUCCUGUCCUCAAAACUGAGUAAGAUAAGUAUGGCUGAGAUGUUGUGUCUCACCUAGGCAUGGUCUUCUUAUUGAUUACUGCUUGAUUCAAAGAUGGUUUAUAAGGUUCUCAACCAAUAGCAUUGCAGACUCCAUGGGAUUUGUCAGCAGCUUGCUAAAAGGCUAAAAUUGCCCCAUUUACCAAUUCAUUCACCGAAACAGGGAAUGGUUAUUUUAAACUUUUAAUUCACAAGCAUAGGGGUUUCUGAAAGCUGAUAAAACAACCCAUUAGGUGAAACUGAUAUGGGGAUCUUUGCUGGCUAAGAGGAAGACUCCAAAGGAAUCAGGUUGGAGCUACUGAUUUUCCUAUUAAGCAAGUGACUGAGGAUUGGGAGAGAAAGAGAGAGAGAGGCCAAGCACCGAGCUUUUACAUAUAAAUAAUUCAACCAAUAUUACUUGAUCAUUAGAUACGCAUUGUAUAUUGGGGUUUAUAGUUAAAAAAAAUCCAUGCCUUUCAAAAUCUUCCUUAUUUUAACAAGGAGAAGAUUUCUGCAGAGAAAAAUAAUAGAAUAUUAAGAAAUUACAUUAUAUUCAGGAUGGUUUUUAUUCAGGGAGGCUGGGAUCCUUCUAUACAACUUACCCCACACCCCUUGGCUUGGUAGGUGAGCUGUGCCCAGUUCCAGCUGUUCUUCUGCUUUUAUUUGUUACUUUUAUUUCUCAUCAGCUUCAAUUAUCAACUGUGCCACUGAUUCUCCUCCUUACCCAGCUCAAUGCUUUCCUUUUCUUGAUAAAAAUAUGUAGAAAUGUCCUCUUUACUAGCUUGGAAUGAGAUUCAUAAAUGAUAUAGCAUACUUAUAAGCUUAAAAAAAAAUCCUGUGUGUGUGUUAGUUGCUCAAUUGUGUUCGACUCUUUGAGACCCCAUGGACUAUAGCCCACCAGGCUCCUCUGUCCAUGGGAUUCUCCAGGCAAGAAUACUGGAGUGGGUUGCCAUUCCCUUCUCCAGGGGAUCUUCCAGACCCAGGGAUCAAACCCAGGUCACCUGCAUUGUAGGCAGAUUCUUCACCAUCUGAGCCACCAGGAAAUCCUUAUUUACUUUUAAACUUAAACAAACAAAUGAACAAUACAACGCAGUACAGUAAUUUGACUAAGGGCAGGAGGCCUAGAGCCAGCUUGCUCAGGUUCAAAUCCAGUGUCUGCCAUGGGACCUUGGACAAGUUACCUGACCUCUCUGUGCUUUAGUUUCUCCUUUAUGAGAUGGGGGUAAGAAUACCCAUCUCAAGGGGUUAUUGUGAGGAUCACAAGUGAGUCAUAUGUACAGCUCUUAAAAUACAUAUGGCACACAAUAAGCUCUCUGUUACCUCAUAAUGUCCUCGGUGAGAUAUAAGGAAGAAAUAAAAGUAGUUUAUAAUAAAAUAAUUUAUAUUUUAAUAUAUGAAUGUUCAGACAUGAUCACAUUAGCAAAACAAAUGAAAUAGUCAGACUCUUACUCCAAUUCAUAAGGAGUAAGUUUUUAUUUAAGUAAGAUAUUCAACUGAGUAUUGUUGACAUUUGAAAGGAUAUUUGGCUUUUGAAGAACACCUAACUCACUGUAUCCUCAUACGUAUGUCAAAUCUGUGUAACCUGAUGGCUACUAACACAAGUGUACAAAAGACUGAUUCCAUAAGCCAGCCUUCCAGUGCUAUUGUGAUUUUCUGAAAUGGUAACUUGUUCUUUAUAAACUUCUAAACAAAAGAGAUUUAUAGGAUACAUUCGGAAGUAAUGAUACUUUAAAGUAUAUUAAAGCCAUGCCAAAAAUACUUUGUUUCUAGACUCAGGUAAAAAUAUACUAUUCAUCUCUAUGAAUAUCUGUUCGUAAACUGGGCUUCCCAGGUGGCCCAGUGGUAAGGAAUCUGCCUAGCAAUGCGGGAGACACUGCAGACUUGGGUUCCAUCCCUGGGUUGGGAAGAUCCUUUGGAGAAGGAAAUGGCAACACACUGCAGGAUUCCUGCCUGGAGAAUCCCAUGGACAGAGGAGCCUCGUGGGCUAGGGUCACAGAGUCAGAUACUGUUCACUGCUGUUGUUCAGCCUCUAAGUUGUGUCUGACUCUUUGCGACCCCAUGGACUGCAGCAUGCCAGGCUCCCCUGUCCUUCACCAUCUCCUGGAGUUUUCUCAAACUCAUCUCCAUUGAGUCAGAGAUGCUGUCUAACCAUGUUAUCCUCUGCUGCCCCCUUCUCCUUCUGCCUUCAAUCUUGAAUAGUAUAUAAUAGUAAUAAAUAAUAAAUAAAGUAAAGGUAAUUAUAUUGACUAGUGGAAAAGGUUGAAAAAAUAUUUCAGGUCAGGCAGAAAUUAGAGAUGAUGGCAUAUGCUUUGGAUGGAUGUAUUUUUUUUUUGAAUCUUGAAUAUUGACGUAUUUUCAUGUAUCACACUUAACUGAUAUGCAGUGGCUGAGGUUCAGAAAGUUGAGUUAUUUGUAUAUAUGUUUUACCAACAUGGCCCUAAAUCAGUAACACAGCUGAGGGUUGUGUUCAAAAUGUGAUCUUGAAAUGAUUUGCCUGCUUUUGGAAUAGGGUUGUUUCUGUCUGAACUGAAAGGAUCUAACAAAUUCAUAUUGGUUCAGGUUCACUAGUGGAGCUUAAAGGCUGCCCUCCCAGAGGGAUUGACAGUGAAGAGAAGGAAACGUCUUAAAAAGACAGGAAUAAAACUGUAAUUAUGGCAUUUCAGCCACCCAAGAAAGAGUCAGAGAUGUUUUAUGGAUGGUGUUAGGGUGACCCCUGGCAUACUACAAAUCACAGCUUUCCUGAAAGAUAGAUUGUGUUCUUGGAU
Bos grunniens (domestic yak) is the source of this 3468-nucleotide long non-coding RNA. NCBI's taxonomy places the organism in Eukaryota, Metazoa, Chordata, Mammalia, Artiodactyla, Bovidae. The record is from Ensembl.